This 66-nucleotide transfer RNA is filed under the name Cyrtodactylus triedrus (Spotted bent-toed gecko). RNAcentral describes it as "tRNA-Ala". The record is from RNAcentral. Lineage: Eukaryota; Metazoa; Chordata; Lepidosauria; Squamata; Gekkonidae.
GAGGUUUUAGCUUAAUUAAAGUGUCUGAGUUGCAUUCAGGAUAUGUAUUUGUGAUUUACAGGCCUU